GUGGGGCAGGGACUCGCCUUGCACGUCAGCAGCACUUGGCAGUCCUCGGUGACCUUCCACUGCAAAGGUUCCUGGAAGUAGGGACCUGUGGGUCCAAAACAAACACACCCACCCGUCAGCGCCCCAAACUGAGGCGGGCGCCACCUGGUGGCCACACGGGGGAAGCCAGCCUGGAGGAGGCUGCAAAGGACCGCUGGGCUUAAAGAUCCAGAUGCGGGGGUCUGGGGUAGUUCAAAUGCUGGUUUGAUCUGGUACCGGGAGAGAGGUGGACUGAAUCGCAGUGGGCCUCUCUGGGGUGGGGGUAGGGUCCUCGUAACCCCAGGUCUGCCGUUCUGCAGUACAGCGGCCAGCCAAGGCCUUUGACCUCCGACCUCCGACCUCCGUCCCGCAGCUCUUACCCUGUUUUCUCUUCCAGUCUUUUCUCUUGGCAUCCGCCUUCCUCAGAAGCUGGUCGAAAUCUGUGAACACAGUGGGAGGGGCUGGUACCAUCUGAGAAGAGUGCUGGUGCCCAGGGGGACAUCAGGUGGCCAGGAGACAGAGUCUCCAUCUGUCUCUGUCUGUCUGUCUUUCCUUUCUCCCGGGAAUUGAACCCAGGGUCUUCCUCAUUCCAAAUACAUUCUCUACCGCUGAGCUACACCCCUAGUGCCAACCCAUGUUCUCUGAUGGCCGAUUUGCCGCCUGGAGAUGAAACCACACACCACGUGAGGCUGCGCCCUGAGCUUGAAUCUCUCACAAGAUUGGCAAUCGCCGUGUUUGCAAAUCAGAGCAAUUGAGGGCCAGCAACCUAGCUAACAAAACCUGCCUGCUUAACGAAGGUAAAUAAAAACUGAACAUAAAAUAAUCCUCUUCCCGUAACAGGAGGAAUUAAAAAUCAUUUCAAUGAUUUUACAAUGUAGAUGUUUGGACAAAAUCUCACUCAUGCCACACUGGUUUAAUGAGCUGUUUUGAAUAUAAGAAAAGCAAAAAGACUGGAACUAAAUCUGUUCAAGAACAGAACAAGGAGUGAACGAGCACAGGAAAGGCGGCUGAGGGGAUUGAAGCUCUCUACUGAAAGUACAUUAGGCUCGUGAGAGAGCUCUUUGUAUUUGUGCCUAAAACAGGGCGAGGGCCUCGGUGUGGAUACCGAUGGGCCCGCGUGCAAGCUGUGCACUGGAAGAAUGUCUGCUGGGGUGGCCCAGGACAGCCACACAGUCUGUGUGGCCAUCUCUGAAAUGCCUGCUCUGGGGAGAACCGAGGCCAGGACAGGCCACCUGUGCUCAGGAGGGGCUCCCGGGGAUGGUGAGCGCCAGUUACCGGUGAGCUGAAGAUCUCCUUCUCGUUGAAGAUGAGGUGCAGCUCCGCGGCCGGAGACAGCUUCUCUACCUCCAGCCACAGCCGCACCUCCCCUCGCUCCAGGAUGUCAAUGUUCCAGCCGGAGAUCAGUUUGAUUACUGGAAAGCACAGGAUGGGGAGGGUAUAGAUGGGCCCCCUCCUUUCCUCCCUACCCAGUUGCACCCAGUUGACACAGGAGCUGCUUGGAGGGCCUAAGGCUGGGGGCUGAGGAGGGUUUUUUUUUUUUUUUUUGUCUUUUUCCUUUUUAUCGGUACCAGGGAUCGAACCCAUGACUGCAUGCUUGCAAGGCAGGCGCUUAUGCCGCUGAGCUAAAUCCCCAGCCCCGAGGAGGGCUUUUUGUAUGCGGGCUCUGGACUGAACCGAUCUCAGGGAAGCAUUUCCCCUUCAAGGGUUCUGAGGCUGUGGUUCUCAAGCUGGCCCAGCACUGGAUCUCUGAGGACUUUGAAGAACACUUGUGCCCAGCAUGGUGGCACAGGCAUGUAAUUUUAGCACUCAGGAGGAUUAUAAUUCUAGCACUAGCAGAAGGAUUACAAUAAGUUUGAGGCCAGCUUGGGCAAAAUAGCAAAUUCAAGGCCGGUCUG
Molecule: long non-coding RNA, 1913 nt
Organism: Cavia porcellus (domestic guinea pig)
Lineage: Eukaryota; Metazoa; Chordata; Mammalia; Rodentia; Caviidae
Exons: 2
Source: RefSeq, a predicted model, not a curated record